AUGGAGUCUGCCCUGUGUACACUGCUCUCAGCUCUGGUUGUGCUCCUGUGUUCUUCCCCAGAGUGUAAAGGAGAAGACACAGUGACCCAGACACAAGGAGACGCCUCUGUCCCUCAGGGACACACAGCCACAAUACAGUGCACUUUUAAAACAACUUCCGGCAGUCCAACUCUGUUCUGGUACAAGCAAGAAGGACGAGGAGCUCCUAAAUACAUGAUCAAGUUGUUUGGUGAAACAAUACUGAAAUCUCCAGAGUUUGACAAACCCAAAUUGGAUGCUGAGCUGAAGUUGAAGGUGAAGUCUCUCUCUCUGAAGAUCCAGGAUGUGGAUGUGACAGACUCUGCUGUGUACUACUGUGCUCUGAGGCCCACAGUGACAGGAAACACCAAAACUCUGAACAAAAACCUCUGGAGCAAAGAGCAGUACUCCACACGGACACUAGAGGGAGACACUUUCUGA
Molecule: non-coding RNA, 459 nt
Organism: Periophthalmus magnuspinnatus
Lineage: Eukaryota; Metazoa; Chordata; Actinopteri; Gobiiformes; Gobiidae
Source: the annotation of a RefSeq genome assembly